Molecule: non-coding RNA, 843 nt
Organism: Cucurbita pepo subsp. pepo (vegetable marrow)
Lineage: Eukaryota; Viridiplantae; Streptophyta; Magnoliopsida; Cucurbitales; Cucurbitaceae
Source: RefSeq, a predicted model, not a curated record
CUUAUGAGGCGGUAAACGUGUCUUAUCUACAAAAACUAUGCUAAUUUUUAUUUCAAAUUGUGUUUUAGGUCAACAUCUCAAAUACAAACCUUUGCACCCAAUAGUUGAAGCGGUAAUAUACGCCAAUAAUGGAGAAUCUGCAGCACCACUUUGGACCUCGUCAUCAAUUCAUCGAGUGAGGCGGCUGUCCAGUUUUUCAAAGCGGGGAGAUUCGGAAGAAUUUGGGCAUACACAAGUUGACAAAAUUCGCAACUACUUUAUGAGGUUUAGACAAAAGUUUGAUUUGGUUCGAGUUGUUUGGUUUUUGUCUUCUAUACUGCGGACUUCUCUUCAAAGGAUUAGAGAAGGUUUAGAAGCAAAGCAGCUUCACCGACAGGUUCAGGUCUGAAUUGUUUGGUUUUUGUCUUCUAUACUGCGGACUUCUCUUCAAAGGAUUAGAGAAGGUUUAGAAGCAAAGCAGCUUCACCGACAGGUUCAGGUUCGAGUUGUUUGGGUUUUGCCUUUUAUACUGCAGACUUCUCUUCAAAGGAUUAGAGAAGGUUUAGAACCAAAGCAGCUUUACCGACAGGUUCAGGUGCUUAUCGUUUACAAUUUCAAGUAGUCGGGUAUAAUCUCAUUUCUCAUUUUCUUUCCUUCUUUUACUAGAGCAUAUCUUUUGUGAAAUAAGGUUGUGUGGUAAGUAAAACACUACAAUUAAACUCAAAUUCUGGUCAUUGUUGGACAUCGUUAUAGGAUCGACUAGGCUUACAGAUUAGGAUUUCAACCUCGUUUUAAGAAAUUUAACCUUAAAUUUGACCAGAAUCAAGUCGGUAGUUUAACCCUGGAAAUGGAUGGAAAGAGAGA